Molecule: ribosomal RNA, 255 nt
Filed under: uncultured bacterium
Lineage: Bacteria
Description: partial 16S ribosomal RNA
Rfam family: Bacterial small subunit ribosomal RNA
Source: RNAcentral
UACAGAGGUCCCAAGCGUUGUUCGGAUUCACUGGGCGUAAAGGGUGCGUAGGUGGUUGUGCAAGUCUGAUGUGAAAUCUCCGGGCUUAACCCGGAAAUGGCAUUGGAAACUGCAUAGCUAGAGGGUUGGAGGGGGGGGACUGGAAUACUUGGUGUAGCAGUGAAAUGCGUAGAUAUCAAGUGGAACACCAGUGGCGAAGGCGAGUCCCUGGACAACACCUGACACUGAGGCACGAAAGCUAGGGGAGCAAACAGG